RNAcentral lists this ribosomal RNA (371 nucleotides) under Salmonella enterica. Its description in RNAcentral is "partial 23S ribosomal RNA". It matches the Rfam family "Bacterial large subunit ribosomal RNA", at positions 931 to 1299 of the family's 2925-position model. The record is from RNAcentral. RNAcentral also lists the same sequence under 1 other name. Lineage: Bacteria; Pseudomonadati; Pseudomonadota; Gammaproteobacteria; Enterobacterales; Enterobacteriaceae.
CCGGCUUACCAACCCGAUGCAAACUGCGAAUACCGGAGAAUGUUAUCACGGGAGACACACGGCGGGUGCUAACGUCCGUCGUGAAGAGGGAAACAACCCAGACCGCCAGCUAAGGUCCCAAAGUCAUGGUUAAGUGGGAAACGAUGUGGGAAGGCCCAGACAGCCAGGAUGUUGGCUUAGAAGCAGCCAUCAUUUAAAGAAAGCGUAAUAGCUCACUGGUCGAGUCGGCCUGCGCGGAAGAUGUAACGGGGCUAAACCAUGCACCGAAGCUGCGGCAGCGACACUGUGUGUUGUUGGGUAGGGGAGCGUUCUGUAAGCCUGUGAAGGUGUGUCGUGAGGCAUGCUGGAGGUAUCAGAAGUGCGAAUGCUGA